Molecule: transfer RNA, 65 nt
Filed under: Alpheus inopinatus
Lineage: Eukaryota; Metazoa; Arthropoda; Malacostraca; Decapoda; Alpheidae
Description: tRNA-Met
Source: RNAcentral
AAAAAGAUAAGCUAAGAUAAGCUAACGGGUUCAUACCCCGUCUAUGAAGGUCACUUCUCUUUUUA